Molecule: transfer RNA, 73 nt
Filed under: Brassica carinata (Ethiopian mustard)
Lineage: Eukaryota; Viridiplantae; Streptophyta; Magnoliopsida; Brassicales; Brassicaceae
Also listed under: 1 other name
Rfam family: tRNA
About the family: Transfer RNA (tRNA) molecules are approximately 80 nucleotides in length.
Source: Rfam by way of RNAcentral
GGGGAUGUAGCUCAAAUUGCAGAGCGCUCGCUUUGCAUGCGAGAGGCAAGGGGUUCGAUGCCCCGCAUCUCCA